Molecule: ribosomal RNA, 122 nt
Organism: Pteropus vampyrus (large flying fox)
Lineage: Eukaryota; Metazoa; Chordata; Mammalia; Chiroptera; Pteropodidae
Source: Ensembl
UCUUAAAAUGUCACCAGGACCCUGAACACACCCGAUCUUGUCUGAUCUUAGAAGCUGAGCAGAGUCGGGCCUGGUUAGUACUUGGAUGGGAGACCACCUAGGAAGACCAGGUGCUGUAGGUG